Molecule: ribosomal RNA, 442 nt
Filed under: uncultured bacterium
Lineage: Bacteria
Description: partial 16S ribosomal RNA
Rfam family: Bacterial small subunit ribosomal RNA
Source: RNAcentral
CCUACGGGAGGCAGCAGUGGGGAAUAUUGGGCAAUGGGCGCAAGCCUGACCCAGCAACGCCGCGUGAAGGAAGAAGGCUUUCGGGUUGUAAACUUCUUUUAAGAGGGAAGAGUAGAAGACGGUACCUCUUGAAUAAGCCACGGCUAACUACGUGCCAGCAGCCGCGGUAAUACGUAGGUGGCAAGCGUUGUCCGGAUUUACUGGGUGUAAAGGGCGUGUAGCCGGGCCGGCAAGUCAGAUGUGAAAUCCCAAGGCUCAACCUUGGAACUGCAUGUGAAACUGUUGGUCUUGAGUAUCGGAGAGGCAGGCGGAAUUCCUAGUGUAGCGGUGAAAUGCGUAGAUAUUAGGAGGAACACCAGUGGCGAAGGCAGCAUACCGGCGCUCAACUGACGCUGAGGCACGAAAGCGUGGGGAUCGAACAGGAUUAGAUACCCCAGUAGUC